This 525-nucleotide small RNA is filed under the name Malus domestica (apple). Its description in RNAcentral is "sRNA MD04G0019400". The record is from RNAcentral. Lineage: Eukaryota; Viridiplantae; Streptophyta; Magnoliopsida; Rosales; Rosaceae.
UACCAUUUCGUCAAAUAACCUUGUGGCUUCUUUCCAUUGCCUGGUACGACACAAUCCUUUAAUUAAAGUGCUGUAAGUCACAACAUCAGGCUUUUCCCCUCUACGGAACAUUUCGUCGACAAGAUUCAGUGCCUCUGUUGUCUUCCCUUCCUUGCAUAAACCAUCCAGUACAGAAUUGUAUGUAACAAUAUCAGGCAAGGCUCCAUAACCAAUCAUGGUUUUGAAUAACCUCACACAUUCUUCCCAGUUACCACACUUGCAUGAAGCAGAAAUCAAGGAUUUAAAAGUGACAACAUCAGGCUUUAUGCCUUUCGUUGUCAUAUUUUCCAACAGAGAAAGUGCUUCUUGAAUUCUGUCAUCCUUGCACAACGAGUUCAUUAGAACACUAUAUGUGUAUACAUCUGGUGAAAUUCCGCCGUUAAGCAUGCAAAUCAAGAAGCUCUUGGCCUUUUCCAACCUCCCCGAUUGGCACAAUGCAUAAAUUAGAGUGUUGUAGGUGACAACAUCUGGCCUGACUCCAUGAUC